CUACGGGAGGCAGCAGUGGGGAAUCUUGCGCAAUAGGGGAAACCCUGACGCAGCGACGCCGCGUGGAGGAUGAAGGUCUUCGGGUUGUAAACUCCUUUUCUCAGGGAAAAUGAUGAUGGUACCUGAGGAAUAAGCCACGGCUAACUCUGUGCCAGCAGCCGCGGUAAGACAGAGGUGGCGAGCGUUGUUCGGAAUCACUGGGCUUAAAGGGCGAGUAGGCGGUGGAGCAAGUCUGMGGUAGAAUCCUAUSGCUUAACCAUAGAAUUSCCUUAGAAACUGCUUUACUUGAGUCAGUGAGGGGAGGGCGGAAUUCCUGGUGUAGCGGUGAAAUGCGUAGAUAUCAGGAGGAAGGCCUGUGGCGAAGGCGGCCCUCUGGCACUGAACUGACGCUGAGGCGCGAAAGCGUGGGGAGCAAACAGGAUUAGAUACCCUGGUAGUCCACGCCCUAAACGGUGGGCAAUUAGGUGUAGGGCUCGUAAGGGUUCUGUGCCGAAGGGAAACCAUUAAAUGCCCCGCCUGGGGAGUACGGCCGCAAGGUUGAAACUCAAAUGAAUUGACGG
This 560-nucleotide ribosomal RNA is filed under the name uncultured bacterium. RNAcentral describes it as "bacterial SSU rRNA". It matches the Rfam family "Bacterial small subunit ribosomal RNA", at positions 339 to 916 of the family's 1533-position model. The record is from RNAcentral.